This 253-nucleotide ribosomal RNA is filed under the name uncultured bacterium. RNAcentral's name for it is "partial 16S ribosomal RNA". It matches the Rfam family "Bacterial small subunit ribosomal RNA", at positions 524 to 776 of the family's 1533-position model. The record is from RNAcentral.
GACAGAGGGUGCGAACGUUGUUCGGAAUUACUGGGCGUAAAGCGCAUGUAGGCGGCAGCGCAAGUCGGGCGUGAAAUCCCACGGCUCAACCGUGGAAGUGCACUCGAAACUGCGCAGCUAGAGUCCUGGAGAGGAAGGUGGAAUGCUUGGUGUAGAGGUGAAAUUCGUAGAUAUCAAGCGGAACACCGGUGGCGAAGGCGGAUCUCUGGGCCUUACCUGACGCUCAGGUGCGAAAGCUAGGGGAGCGAACAGG